This 460-nucleotide ribosomal RNA is filed under the name uncultured bacterium. Its description in RNAcentral is "partial 16S ribosomal RNA". It matches the Rfam family "Bacterial small subunit ribosomal RNA", at positions 338 to 795 of the family's 1533-position model. The record is from RNAcentral.
CCUACGGGAGGCAGCAGUGAGGAAUAUUGGUCAAUGGACGAGAGUCUGAACCAGCCAAGUAGCGUGAAGGAUGACUGCCCUAUGGGUUGUAAACUUCUUUUAUAUGGGAAUAAAAUGUUCCACGUGUGGGAUUUUGUAUGUACCAUAUAAAUAAGGAUCGGCUAACUCCGUGCCAGCAGCCGCGGUAAUACGGAGGAUCCGAGCGUUAUCCGGAUUUAUUGGGUUUAAAGGGAGCGUAGGUGGAUUGUUAAGUCAGUUGUGAAAGUUUGCGGCGCAACCGGAAAAUUGCAGUUGAAACUGGCAGACUUGAGUACAGUAGAGGUGAGCGGAAUUCGUGGUGUAGCGGUGAAAUGCGUAGAUAUCAGGAAGAACACCGAUGGCGAAGGCAGCUCACUGGACUGCAACUGACGCUGAGGCUCGAAAGUGUGGGUAUCAAACAGGAUUAGAUACCCCGGUAGUC